GGUCACUGCUAUUGGGAUUCGACUAAGCUAUGCGAGUCGAGAGGGUUCGGCCCUCGGCUGACGGCUCAGUAACACGUGGAUAAUCUGCCCUUAGGUGGAGGAUAAUCUCGGGAAACUGAGAAUAAUACUCCAUAGAUCUAGGAUGCUGGAAUGCACUUAGAUUGAAAGCUCCGGCGCCUAAGGAUGAGUCUGCGGACUAUCAGGUUGUGGUCAGGGUAAUGACCUGACUAGCCUACGACGGAUACGGGUUGUGAGAGCAAUAACCCGGAGACGAUAUCUGAGACACGAUAUCGGGCCCUACGGGGCGCAGCAGGCGCGAAAACUUCACACUGUGCGAAAGCACGAUGAGGGAAUCCCGAGUGCCAACUCGUAAGAGUUGGCUGUUUCUCUGUCUAAAAAAUAGAGAGAGUAAGAGCUGGGUAAGACGGGUGCCAGCCGCCGCGGUAAUACCUGCAGCUCAAGUGGUGGCCACUAUUAUUGGGCCUAAAACGUCCGUAGCCGGUUUAAUAAAUGCCGGGGUAAAUCGUGUAGCUUAACUAUACGAAUUCCGGGUAGACUGUUAGACUUGAGACCGGGAGAGGCUAGAGGUACUCCUGGGGUAGAGGUGAAAUUCUGUAAUCCUAGGGGGACCACCAGUGGCGAAGGCGUCUAGCUAGAACGGGUCUGACGGUGAGGGACGAAGCCCUGGGGCGCAAACCGGAUUAGAUACCCGGGUAGUCCAGGGUGUAAACGCUGCUUGCUUGAUGUUAGUUGGGCUCCGAGCCCAAUUAGUGUCGGAGAGAAGUUGUUAAGCAAGCUGCCUGGGAAGUACGGCCGCAAGACUGAAACUUAAAGGAAUUGGCGGGGGAGCACAGCAACGGGUGGAGCGUGCGGUUU
Molecule: ribosomal RNA, 876 nt
Filed under: uncultured archaeon
Lineage: Archaea
Description: bacterial SSU rRNA
Rfam family: Archaeal small subunit ribosomal RNA
Source: RNAcentral